RNAcentral lists this small nuclear RNA (18 nucleotides) under Arabidopsis thaliana (thale cress). RNAcentral's name for it is "snRNA_16612". Lineage: Eukaryota; Viridiplantae; Streptophyta; Magnoliopsida; Brassicales; Brassicaceae. The record is from RNAcentral.
GUUUCACUUUUCCACCGU